AUUGGAGGGCAAGUCUGGUGCCAGCAGCCGCGGUAAUUCCAGCUCCAAUAGCGUAUAUUAAAGUUGUUGCAGUUAAAAAGCUCGUAGUUGGAUUUCUGUUAAUAAUUUAUAUAAAAUAUUUUGAUGAAUAUUUAUAUAAUAUUAACAUAAUUCAUAUUACUAUUCUUUUUUUUAGUAUAUGAAAUUUUACUUUGAGAAAAUUAGAGUGCUUAAAGCAGGCAUAUGCCUUGAAUACUCCAGCAUGGAAUAAUAUUAAAGAUUUUUAUCUUUUUUAUUGGUUCUAAGAUAAGAAUAAUGAUUAGUAGGGACAGUUGGGGGCAUUUGUAUUUAACAGUCAGAGGUGAAAUUCUUAGAUUUGUUAAAGACAAACUAAUGCGAAAGCAUUUGCCAAGGAUGUUUUCAUUAAUCAAGAACGAAAGUUAGGGGAUCGAAGACGAUCAGAUACCGUCGUAGUCUUAACCAUAAACUAUGCCAACUAGAGAUUGGAGGUUGUUCCUUACUCCUUCAGCACCUUAA
RNAcentral lists this ribosomal RNA (516 nucleotides) under Cryptosporidium hominis. RNAcentral describes it as "SSU rRNA". It matches the Rfam family "Eukaryotic small subunit ribosomal RNA", at positions 547 to 1091 of the family's 1831-position model. Lineage: Eukaryota; Apicomplexa; Conoidasida; Eucoccidiorida; Cryptosporidiidae. The record is from RNAcentral.